This 77-nucleotide transfer RNA is filed under the name Mollicutes bacterium. RNAcentral describes it as "tRNA-Ala". It matches the Rfam family "tRNA". From Rfam's summary of the family: Transfer RNA (tRNA) molecules are approximately 80 nucleotides in length. Their secondary structure includes four short double-helical elements and three loops (D, anti-codon, and T loops). The record is from RNAcentral. Lineage: Bacteria; Bacillati; Mycoplasmatota; Mollicutes.
GGGGAAUUAGCUCAGUUGGCUAGAGCGCCUGCCUUGCACGCAGGAAGUCGCGGGUUCGAGUCCCACAUUCUCCACCA